UGACAAUGGGGGCAACCUAGAUCUAGCCAUGCCGCGUGAGAGAAGAAUACCAUAGGGUCGUAAAGCUCUUUCGCCAGAGAUGAUAAUGACAGUAUCUGGUAAAGAAACCCCGGCUAACUCUGUGCCAGCAGCCGCUGUAAUACGGAGGGGGUUAGCGUUGUUCGGAAUUACUGGGCGUAAAGCGCACGUAGGCGGAUUAGUAAGUUAGAGGUGAAAUCCCAGGGCUCAACCCUGGAACUGCCUUUAAUACUGCUAGUCUAGAGUUCGAGAGAGGUAAGUGGAAUUCCGAGUGUAGAGGUGAAAUUCGUAGAUAUUCGGAGGAACACCAGUGGCGAAGGCGGCUUACUGGCUCGAUACUGACGCUGAGGUGCGAAAGUGUGGGGAGCAAACAGGAUUAGAUACCUUGGUAGUCCACACUGUAAACGAUGAAUGCCAGACGUCAGCAAGUAUACUUGUUGUGUCACACUAACAGGAUAAGCAUCC
This 483-nucleotide ribosomal RNA is filed under the name uncultured bacterium. RNAcentral describes it as "bacterial SSU rRNA". It matches the Rfam family "Bacterial small subunit ribosomal RNA", at positions 366 to 869 of the family's 1533-position model. The record is from RNAcentral.